GACGAACGCUGGCGGCGUGCCUAAUACAUGCAAGUCGAACGCUUCUUUCCUCCCGAGUGCUUGCACUCAAUUGGAAAGAGGAGUGGCGGACGGGUGAGUAACACGUGGGUAACCUACCCAUCAGAGGGGGAUAACACUUGGAAACAGGUGCUAAUACCGCAUAACAGUUUAUGCCGCAUGGCAUAAGAGUGAAAGGCGCUUUCGGGUGUCGCUGAUGGAUGGACCCGCGGUGCAUUAGCUAGUUGGUGAGGUAACGGCUCACCAAGGCCACGAUGCAUAGCCGACCUGAGAGGGUGAUCGGCCACACUGGGACUGAGACACGGCCCAGACUCCUACGGGAGGCAGCAGUAGGGAAUCUUCGGCAAAGGACGAAAGUCUGACCGAGCAACGCCGCGUGAGUGAAGAAGGUUUUCGGAUCGUAAAACUCUGUUGUUAGAGAAGAACAAGGACGUUAGUAACUGAACGUCCCCUGACGGUAUCUAACCAGAAAGCCACGGCUAACUACGUG
This 508-nucleotide ribosomal RNA is filed under the name uncultured bacterium. RNAcentral describes it as "partial 16S ribosomal RNA". It matches the Rfam family "Bacterial small subunit ribosomal RNA", at positions 28 to 507 of the family's 1533-position model. The record is from RNAcentral.